UUUCAACAAGAAAGAAAAGGUAAAAUCUAACAUAUUUUAUCAUUGACGUUACUUGUAAAAGAAGCACCGGCUAACUCCGUGCCAGCAGCCGCGGUAAUACGGAGGGUGCGAGCGUUAAUCGGAAUUACUGGGCGUAAAGAGCACGUAGGCUGUUAAUUAAGUCAGAUGUGAAAUCCCUAAGCUUAACUUAGGAACUGCAUUUGAAACUAAUUAACUUGAGUUUCGUAGAGGGGGGUAGAAUUCCAGGUGUAGCGGUGAAAUGCGUAGAUAUCUGGAGGAAUACCAGUGGCGAAGGCGACCCCCUGGACGAAUACUGACGCUCAGGUGCGAAAGCAUGGGGAGCAAACAGGAUUAGAUACCCUGGUAGUCCAUGCCGUAAACAAUGUCGACUUGAAGGUUGUAAGCUUGACUUAUAGCUUUCGUAGCUAACGCGUUAAGUCGACCGCCUGGGGAGUACGACCGCAAGGUUAAAACUCAAAUGAAUUGACGGGGGCCCGCACAAGCGGUGGAGCAUGUGGUUUAAUUCGAUGCAACGCGAAAAACCUUACCUGGUCUUGACAUCCAUGGAAUUUAAUAGAGAUAUUUUAGUGCCUUCGGGAACCAUGAGACAGGUGCUGCAUGGCUGUCGUCAGCUCGUGUUGUGAAAUGUUGGGUUAAGUCCCGCAACGAGCGCAACCCUUAUCCUUUGUUGCCAUCAGCUAGGCUGGGAACUCAAAGGAGACUGCCGGUGAUAAACCGGAGGAAGGUGAGGACGACGUCAAGUCAUCAUGGCCCUUACGACCAGGGCUACACACGUGCUACAAUGGUAUAUACAAAGGGAAGCAUCCUCGCAAGAGUAAGCGAAUCUCACAAAAUAUAUCUUAGUUCGGAUUGGAGUCUGCAACUCGACUCUAUGAAGUCGGAAUCGCUAGUAAUCGUAGAUCAGAAUGCUACGGUGAAUACGUUCCCGGGCCUUGUACACACCGCCCGUCACACCAUGGAAGUGGGUUGUAAAAGAAGUAAGUUGCUUAACCUUUUUUU
RNAcentral lists this ribosomal RNA (1020 nucleotides) under bacterium endosymbiont of Donacia impressa. Its description in RNAcentral is "bacterial SSU rRNA". It matches the Rfam family "Bacterial small subunit ribosomal RNA", at positions 434 to 1445 of the family's 1533-position model. The record is from RNAcentral.